Molecule: ribosomal RNA, 732 nt
Filed under: uncultured bacterium
Lineage: Bacteria
Description: bacterial SSU rRNA
Rfam family: Bacterial small subunit ribosomal RNA
Source: RNAcentral
AGAUACAGGAUUAGAUACCCUGGUAGUCCACGCCGUAAACGAUGUCGACUUGGAGGCUGUUCCCUUGAGGAGUGGCUUCCGGAGCUAACGCGUUAAGUCGACCGCCUGGGGAGUACGGCCGCAAGGUUAAAACUCAAAUGAAUUGACGGGGGCCCGCACAAGCGGUGGAGCAUGUGGUUUAAUUCGAUGCAACGCGAAGAACCUUACCUGGCCUUGACAUCCAGAGAACUUUCCAGAGAUGGAUUGGUGCCUUCGGGAACUCUGAGACAGGUGCUGCAUGGCUGUCGUCAGCUCGUGUUGUGAAAUGUUGGGUUAAGUCCCGCAACGAGCGCAACCCUUAUCCUUUGUUGCCAGCGAUUCGGUCGGGAACUCAAAGGAGACUGCCGGUGAUAAACCGGAGGAAGGUGGGGAUGACGUCAAGUCAUCAUGGCCCUUACGAGUAGGGCUACACACGUGCUACAAUGGCGCAUACAAAGAGAAGCGACCUCGCGAGAGCAAGCGGACCUCAUAAAGUGCGUCGUAGUCCGGAUCGGAGUCUGCAACUCGACUCCGUGAAGUCGGAAUCGCUAGUAAUCGUGGAUCAGAAUGCCACGGUGAAUACGUUCCCGGGCCUUGUACACACCGCCCGUCACACCAUGGGAGUGGGUUGCAAAAGAAGUAGGUAGCUUAACCUUCGGGAGGGCGCUUACCACUUUGUGAUUCAUGACUGGGGUGAAGUCGUAACAAGGUAGC